ACACACACACACACACACACUCAUUGGCACUACUUAUACUUACUGUUAUACUUGUGAGUGAAAAGAGAGGGAGGGGGACAAGAAAGUCCUUAUGCCGCAACUGUGUAGAGAAGCAGGAAGGAUUCAGGGCAAACAACAGAAAAACAUCAACAGCUGAGCUGACUAUCUCACAUUCCUUUCCUUUUCUGUGUAAUCUCCAACUAGGACUGGACAAUGACCGCAUGCAGGGGAAAAACCACUUCCCAUAUUCUGAAAAGUGCGCAAGGCUGCAUAUGAAAAUACAAAACAGUACUCAUCGCAUUACAGUUGCAGUACUCUGUCCCAAACUUUGUGAUGGAUUACUAUGAAACAUUUCGGAAAAUUAAUGAAACACACACAACAAAGAGUCGGACGAAAGCUCUGGAGCGAGGGAUUGACAGAGAGAGAAAGGAAGAAGAGAAGCGUGGCGGCGAUUUGGCAGCUGCCCGGUGCCCAGCUGCAUUGGAAAACUCCUGCCGCCUUUUCCUUUGCGGUGGUUCCCUCCCGGAGUGGUUUGUUUGGGGGACUGGUGUCCUGGGUGGGUGUCUGGCUACGCUCCCCUGCUGCAGAUCUGGCUGCUGGGGCUGUGACUGUGGCUGUACCUCCUGGGGAGCUGAGGAAUGGAGGUCUGGCCACAGAACCAGAGACAGUAUCCAUAGAAGCCAAUGAGUGGAAGAGAGCAGCCUCACAUGAUCAUUAGCACCACUUCUGGACUAUGCUGUACUCUAGAGGCUGUGGACUGUGUAGAGACUGAGAGACGAGUGGAGUCAGACCCAGUCGGUAUCAGAUGUGGUGACCCCACUUGGUGACCCGGCCCGCCUGUGGGGAAAACAACCUGUGGUUACCAUGUUGGUUCACGGCAAAAACUUGACCUUUUUCAAAUGUAUUUUUCUUGCUGUCUGCUUGUUUUAGUCAAUUACAAAACUACAUUUAAGAAAAGUACAACAUGUCUAAAGAUUACUUUUCAACAUUGCCUGCUCCCGAGCGUUCUCACUACUUAGAAAUACGUAAUAUUGUAUGUUGUAGGGGUUCCCUCAUGCCCCUUUUCAUGAUGGUGAUAGCAGCCAUGUGAGUGCUAGCUAGGUAGCGACCGGAACAUUAAGCUAGCCAAGACCAACAACACAAACAAAAGGACUAUACUAAACAAGUUAAAUGUCUUGCCUGUGAUGAAAUGUUUUCCACACACAUAGCUACGUAUAGUCUACUUGGACACCGCAUACCCACAUUUCCCACUCUCCCACUCUGAAUACCCUGAAGCCUGAAGUGUGUGUAUGUGCUGUGUGCAAGUGUUAAACUUCAAGAACAUUGACAAGAGGCAGUAGGCCUUAAACAUUGAGAGCAUUAAUAAGCUGUAUGUUACAGUGACUUUUGUGUUGUUUAUAGUGCCAUUAAAACAAUUCUGAUGCAUAUUAUUUUGUGUUUCUUUCCCAUAAAAUCAAAACAUAGUAUGCCUGUAACUCAAUGUAUAGGAAAAUUGUUUAUUUGUGGCCAAAUCUGAGCUAAUUCUAAAAUUGCGACUAAUCGCGAUUAAGGGAUGCCAUUAAGUCGAUUCAUUAUUUUAAUUAUUUAACAGCCCUAGUUUAUGUUGUACCCUGGUGGGUUAGGGGAAGGGUUAACUGCAUUUAAACUGCAGUUAUUGAUGACCCAUUGACAAGGCAUUAUAACACUUAAACUUAAACUUUAAGAUAUGAAGAUAGACUAGAAAAAACCAUGCCAAAAUAUCAAGUCAACCGUGUUGAUAUUGUUGAAAAUGUUGUUUUAAUAUAAUUUUGAGAUCGGAUAGUCCUACCCAUUUAGAUGAGAUGUUGCUAGACUGAGUGUACAAAAUAUUAGGAACACCUGCUCUUUCCAUGACAUAGACUGACUAAGUAAAUCCAGGUGGAAUCUAUGAUCCCUUAUUGAUGUCACUUGUUAAAUCCACUUCAAUCAGUGUAGAUGAAGGGAAGAAGAAAGGUUAAAGAAAGAUUUGUAAGCUUUGAGACAAUUGAGACAUGGAUUGUGUAUGUGUGCCAUUCGAAGGGUGAAUGGGCAAGACAAAAUAUGUGCCUUUGAAUGGGGUAUGGUAGUAGGUGCCAGGCACACCGGUUUGAGUAUGUCAAAAAACUGCAAUGCUGCUGGGUUUUUCACGUUCAACAGUUUCCUAUGUGUAUCAAGAAUGGUGCACCACUCAAAGGACAUCCAGCCAACUUGACACAACUGUGGGAAGCAUUGGAGUCAACAUGGGCCAGCAUCCCUGUGGAACGCUUUCGACAUCUUGUAGAGUCCAUGCCCUGAUGAGUUGAGGCUGUUCUGAGGGCAAAAUUAGGUGCAACUCAAGAGUAGGAAGGUGUUCCUAAUGUUUUGUACACUCAGUGUAUACCAUAUCUGCUUGGUUUCUCAGGUUCUAUGUGGGGGAGUUUUGAAAAUAUAUAUCUUACAGGAAACCACCUAUUUAUAAUGAUAUAAUUGUCUUUCUCUUUUACAUGUAUACUUUUCAGAAUAUCUCACAUUGAUCAUGUACUGCAUGUAAACAAAACAAUUUACAAUUGCAUUUGCAACGUUCCUAUUUUCCAACAAUAAAGAUUAUGAAACAUG
Molecule: long non-coding RNA, 2592 nt
Organism: Oncorhynchus kisutch (coho salmon)
Lineage: Eukaryota; Metazoa; Chordata; Actinopteri; Salmoniformes; Salmonidae
Exons: 5
Source: RefSeq, a predicted model, not a curated record